GUAGGUGGCAAGCGUUGUCCGGAAUUAUUGGGCGUAAAGCGCGCGCAGGCGGUUCUUUAAGUCUGAUGUGAAAGCCCACGGCUCAACCGUGGAGGGUCAUUGGAAACUGGAGAACUUGAGUACAGAAGAGGAAAGCGGAAUUCCACGUGUAGCGGUGAAAUGCGUAGAGAUGUGGAGGAACACCAGUGGCGAAGGCGGCUUUCUGGUCUGUAACUGGCGCUGAGGCGCGAAAGCGUGGGGAGCAAACAGGAUUAGAUACCCUGGUAGUCCACGCCGUAAACGAUGAGUGCUAAGUGUUAGGGGGGUUUCCGCCCCCCUUAGUGCUGCAGCUAACGCAUUAAGCACUCCGCCUGGGAGUACGGCCGCAAGGCUG
Molecule: ribosomal RNA, 373 nt
Filed under: uncultured organism
Description: partial 16S ribosomal RNA
Rfam family: Bacterial small subunit ribosomal RNA
Source: RNAcentral